UAAUCUUGGAGUUUAUUUCUUUCUUAUUUUUUAAUUUCUAAUUUUUGAUUUGUUUCUCUUUCUUUGGAUUAUCAGGAGAUGUUCUUGAUUAAGGGGAUUUCUUUUUCUUUUGUUUUGUGUUUUGUGAUACUACUCAUCCCGAUUUAUCUUAAAAGAUAAAUUGUUAAGUGAAUUGGGAUUAAAUGAACCUGAAUAAGACAACGAAUAUAGGGAUUUCAUACUAUCGAUCCCCACAAUUUGGGAUCGAUAAUUAGUUGAUUGAUUGAAAAUUUUAGAUAUUAUUCAUCUAUACACAUAGUAUGAUCUGGUUAUUCUAAUAUUGUUUCUGAAUUAUCAAUGGUGUUCUUUUCGAUUUUCUCUCAUUCUGGUUCUGUUUUGUGUUUUUUUACUCUGGCGAUAUGAUUUUGAGAAUUUAGAGUGAAGCUUUGCCUUCCUUAGUUUAGUAUGGAGGCUCAAGAGGAUUAAGAAGAUUAAACUAAAUUUGUCCAAAUAAAAGGAUAACGUAUUUUUUUCAACUAGCUACUAAACAUAUCGCCUAUGGAUGUGUACCCGUUUUAAUCAUUGCAAAUGUGGUAUCUGAAUCUGCAAAAUACUUUACAACGUCAAUUGGGCAAACCAAGUGCUUUUGUCCUCGCUAAGUUUGAUAUUUAACUUUUGUCACCAUUUUAAAAAGUUUGCAAAUAUAGGUCAAGCUGAAUAACUUCUCCUUGUUCCUCCUCUUUCGUUUUCCUCCUCAUCCUUCUUGCUUCUCAAUGUCUUCAUUGUUGCAGUUUAGAACGAAAGAAUGUGAUCGAACUUUGAAUAUCAAGAUGAAACACAAGAUCCGCAAUACGUAGUACUUACAAGCCUAGAAUCUCAUGUAAAAUGUGCCAUGAAUUGGCUGUAUAUAUAUGUUUUAUUUUCGCAACAUAUAAUGACGAAAUUAAAUAAGAAGUACGUAUACAUAAGGAGGUGUUUUCACUAUACUUUGCUACAGUAAGAGGGACCUCUAACUCCCAUCUCCUAUAACCUUUCGAAUAACAUUAUAAGAUUUUUCCUCUCUUGAACAACGCAGGUAAGUUCUAACAAUUCGAUAAGACUUGUGAACAAUUAAAUAUGAUAGGAGAAUCAAGUUAACUAUACCAAAGUUAUGAUUUGCUUUCAUGACUUGUGAACAAUUGAAUACGAAAAGUUUUGCCAAUUCGACAACUUGGACUUGCGAAAGAUUUAACAAAAUAUAUAGAAGAAUGAAGGUUAUACCAAAGUUAUGACCCACCGUCAUAACUAAUUGCCAUGAACAAUUGAACAUAGGCAAGUUCAGCCAAUAUCUGAUUAGACUACUUAUGAACAAUAAGAUAUAUAGAAGAAUACCAAAGUUAUAAUCUGCCAUCAUAACUUGUAAAUGAUUGAACACACAUAAGUUCUGCUAAUCUGGCAAGAUUUGUGCACGAUUUAACAAUCUAAGACUAUGAAGAUUGUACCAAUAUUUUGUCCCAAGCAAACUUAUGAAAGUGUAAUUUUUCAUUCUUUUGUAUGGCAUAUAACUUGUGAAAAAGUUUAUGGCCUAUUUGUAGGGGCAGUUCAGUGGACUUAUGUCACGGCCCGAAAUCCCAACCGCAGGGCCGUGAUGGCGCCUAACACCGUAUGCCAGGCAAGCCAACACAGCAGAUGUUACAAGAUAAGGAAAAGCAAUAAAACACAGAUACCGGUCAAUAACGUAACAUAAACCACCCCCAAGAUCUGGUGUCACAAGUACAUGAGUGUCUAAAUUCAGCUAAAUACAAAGUUUGAAAGAAAUACAUCAUUGUCCAAAAUAAAAUGGAAAUAGUACAAUAGAAAUAGGAAGAUGAAUCCAGGGUCUGUGAACGGAAUGUAGCUCUACCUCGAAUAACUGACUGGUAGCUGGUAAGUACCUCUCGGGACUGUGCUGGUACCAACGUCAAAAUCUGCACAAGAAGUGCAGAAGUGUAGUAUGAGUACAACCGACCCAAUAUACUCAGUAAGUGUCGAGCCUAACCCCGAUAAGGUGGUAACGAGGCUAAGAUAAAAUACCUACUAAAACCUAUGCAGAUACCCAAUAUAAAGCAACAGAAAUAACAAGUGAAGCAUUUAAAAGAAAUAACGGGGUGAGGGAAUAUAAAAGGGAGCAACAAUCGAAACAAUAAGUACAGAAUCACCAAGUAAGUCUCUUUCUGAAAUGAGCAACGAAGCAGCCAAACAAAAUUCACAAUCCAAGAAUCAAGUAAAGCAACGAAUUAUCCAAUUGCACGACAUCAACCUUGUGCUUUCACUCUCAUCCUCACCAUAUAAUAUAAAUAUAAUAGCACGGCAUCACCCUUUGUGCUUUUACUCUCAUCCUCACCAUAUAAUAUAAAUGCAAUGGCACGACAUCACCCUUCGUGCUUUUACUCUCAUCCACAUAUGAUAAUGAUAAUAAAGCAACCAAGUGCACGGCAUCACCCUUCGUGCUUUAAUCCUCACAUUCACUCAAUCAAUGAUAACAAUAUAUAAAUAUGGCAUGACAAGAAUUACAUGCAAUUGGAAUUGUUUUACCCCUGCUUUGAUGUGUUUUUAGGUGUUCUGAAUGCCGAAAGAUGACCAAUCGAGCUUAAUUGUUGAAGUUUGUUAUGUAGGAAGCCAAAAGUGAAGAAUAGAGGUGAUUUGAGCAAUAAUGAAGCUAAAAGGCAAUUUUUGAAGAAAAGGAAAAUCGGACCAGGCAGUAAAGUAACUUAAAAAAUCAUAGGGAAAGCACAAAAAAAUCUGAAAAACACAACCAGGCCCUGUGCGAAGCACAGCUAUAGCACAAGGGCAAAUUUGCAUGCGUUUUAUCUUGAGGGGCAACUUAGUCUUGGCUUAGGGACGUGAUAUAAAAGCUUUCAACCCUAAUUUCAGCCACACACUUGACCUGAGAAGGCAAGAAACACCAUUGUUGAAGAAAAUUUGAGCCCGAAAGAUCCUCAAGUUCAUUCAAGAAGACAAAUCGAAGAGUUUCUCUCUACUUUUCUAUCUUUAUUUCUAUGAAUAUUGGUUUGACAAUGGUUUAUGUAUUUUUGAGUAGUGUUAUGAGUAACUAAACUCAUUAAUCUAAGGUUUGAUGGAACCUAUUGGAAGAUAAUUUUCUACUGCAUUUAAAAUAGAUUUGCCUUUGAUUUUUCUCUACUUGUUCAAUUAUAUUUUUAUUGUUAUUAAUUGAAGAGCUCUCAAUUAACUGUACCUAUUUAGUGUGUAUAUUGCUCGAGAGAGAGAGAGUAUAUAUUUAGGUAGUUGUUGAAUAAUAUCACUCCUAACAUAGUUGAGAGAUCGAUACGGAGAGUUUAAAGGCGGGAUUAGAGAUAACGAAGACUUGGUGUGCUCGUCGUGAGCGGUAAAUUAGUGUCAGCUAGCGUAGUUCGAGAGAAUACGUCUAGUAAAUUGUAGUAGUUGCUAGAGAAAGAGCUACGACACUUAAAGUACUCACGAUCGGUAGAGAAUAUUUAGGCGAAUUUAUAGGAACCGUAGCAGGGAAGAUUCCAACAAUAGGGGAAAUCAUAAGCUUAGACUUUUCCAAAUCUUGUCUGCAAUAUUUGUUUUGUUAGUUAUAAAUUACUGCAUUUUUAAUUACUUUGAUCGUAGUUAAUAAACUCUUAAAGUUUUAUAUAAUAUUUCUGAAGGUUGAUUACUUGAAUUUGUACAAAACUAUUAGUUGUAAUUAGCACUUUAUUUUUCCUGUGCGAUUUGACUCCGGACUUAUAAACCGGAUUAUAUUUUCAACGACCGCUAGACCUCUUAGGAGGCAUAGUUGGGCGUGAUCAAAUUUUGGCGCCGUUCCCGGGAAAAGCAACAAUGUUACUAAUUAUAGCUAUAAGAAUUGUUAGGAUUCUUAGUUUAGUCAAUUUUCUGUAUUCUUAUUCAUUACAUUAAAAUACUAACAUUUGUGGUCUUGUGUAUUAUAUGUGUAUGCCUAGAAACUCUUCAAGAACUGGUGAAUUGUUUGAAGUAUUACCGAAUACUGAGAAAGCUUUCGAGGAACUAAAUCGUGCAAACAAGAAGGACAAACAACAGCAUCACCCAAGAGAACAAAUUGAACCAUACAUGGGUGAUGCUUUGGAUAAUCAAAACAAUCGAAAUAAUAUGAAUGACCUGAAUAAUGAGGGUGUGGCACCUCUUGUGCCAGAAGCAGCUUUGUGUGAUUGGGCAUAACCCACCGCUGAAAAUUUGGCAACUGCAAUUGCAGUCCCUCAGAUACAAGCGGAGUCAUUUCAAAUCACAAACAACAUGCUACAUCUGCUGCAAAACAAAGGGCUGUUCUCCGGGUCUUACAUUAAAGAUCCACAACAGCAUCUAAAAACUUUUAUGUCAAUUUGUGUCAUGCAAAGGCAACCGAAUGUUACACCGAAAGCAAUAAGACUAUUCUUGUUUCCAUUCUCAAUGAUAGGAGAAGCCCAGACUUGGCUUAGUUCGCUCCCUAUAAAUUCCAUCACCACUUGGGAGAAAUUAGUCAAGCAGUUUUUGAAUAAAUUCUACCCACCCAAUAAGACUGCCAAGCAAGUUGAUGAGAUAUUAAGCUUCAGGCAAAAACCAGCUGAAACAUUAUAAGAAACGUGGGAGAGAUUCAAAGGUAUGCCAGUUAAGUGUCCACAUCAUGGUAUUCCAGAUCAGAUGUUGGAACAACAGUUUUACAUGGGAUUGACAGAUAGCUUGAAAGCUAAUGUUGAUGCUUCAGCAGGUGGAGCAUUUUUGAGCAAGUCAUUUAGAGAGUGUAACGUCCUACUAGAUAAAAUGGCUCAAAACUCAGGAUAGAUGACAAGAGACUCCACAAUCACCCCUAUAGUUCACUCAGUAGCAUUGGACCCGAACAAUUCCAUAGCCGAGAAUAUGGCCACUCUGAUGACGUAAAUCCUCACCAAGAAGAUUGAUGAAUCAGGCCAAAAGUAGGUACACAUAGUUGACACGACUAAUGGGGGAUUAUGUACACCAUGUAUUAACCAACCAUACGUGUGCUCGUGGAGUGGUGAAAAUGACAACUAAAGCUAUCAGGAGAAUAUGAACUAUGUGGGCAACUAUGGAGGCCAGAGGCAAGGUGGUCAGAAUUGGGGGCAACAGAAUCAUUAGUAUAGACCAGCACAACAACAAUACAAUAACCCCAACAAUCCUGGAGUUAUGCGACCACAGGGUCAAGUAGUGCCUUACCAAAGGCAACAGGGAUACAGUCAGCAAAAUCAGCAGCUAGCUUAUCAACAGCAUCAACAACAACAACUAGUGAGACAAGAUGAUGGGAUGUCUGAAAUUAAAGGAAUGUUGCAACAACUGAUUGGGUCUAAUGGAAAAAUGUGAGAGAAGGUGAAAGCACAUGAGUCGACGAUAAAAGGAAUUGAGAUUCAAGUAGGGCAGAUAUUUAUGGAUCUGAAUUAUCAUCCCCAAGGGACUUUAUCUGCAGACACACAUGUCAAUCCGAAGGAGCAGGGCCCGAAUCAGCUUAUGGCUAUGAGUUUGAGAAAUGGUAGAGAUCUUGAUUAAGAGCAAGAAAUUGCUCAUGAAACCUGAUCAACUGUAACACUUGUGCCAGUGCCAAUUGAGGUAGAUGAGUCAAUUGAGCUAACAAAAGUGAGAGUGCAGCCAGCCCAGAAGGAAAUAAAUAAGGAAAAAGAGGUUGCGGAGGAGACUGAGAAAGUGCAAGAGAAGGCAUUAGAAAGAGUGUCUGAGCAAGAUCUAACUCAAGCCACAGGAAAGAAGCGAGCACCAGCACCCUUCCCGCAGAGGUUGGCCUAAUAUCAUAAGGAUGAGCAGUACAAAAAAUUCAUGGAAAUGCUGAAGCAAAUUCAGGUAAACAUUUCUCUAAUUGAUGCUUUAAGGGAGAUGCCCAGUUAUGCAAAAAUGAUGAAGGACUUGAUGUCUCGUAAGUUCUACUUUCAAGACUUGGAACUGUCAUAUUGACACAGAUCUGUAGUGUAGUUAUGUCAAGACCUAUAGCUGAGAAGUUAUCCGACCCUAGAAGCUUCACAAUUCCAUGCACCAUAGGUAGCUAUGCAUUUUCCAAAGCAUUGAGUGAUUUGGGAGCAAGUAUAAAUCCGGUGCCAUUGUCUAUCUAUAAAAAGUUAGGCAUUGGAAGAGCAAGGCCCACAUCCAUGUUACUGCAGCUAGCUGACUAAACAGUGAAAAGGCCAUUAGGUAUAUUUGAUGAUGUACUUGUGAAAGUUAGAAAAUUCGUGUUUCCAGUAGAUUUUGUCAUUCUGGACUGCAUGGUUGAUGAGGAGAUUCCCAUAAUUUUGGGAAGGCCAUUCUUGGCCACAGGGAGAGCUCUAAUUGAUUGUGAAAUGGGGGAGCUGAAGAUGAGGCUAAAUAAUGAAGAAAUAACAUUUAAUGUGCAAAAGUCUAUGCGGCGACCCAGUGAGUUAGCAAAUUACUCUUUGUUAGACACGGUGAAUGUAAUCAUGGAGGAAGAUGAUGAGGCUCUUAAUGCAAAUGACCCUCUAACAGCCUGCCUUAUGAACUUAGAAGAAGUAAAUGGUGAGGACUUGGCGGAAUGGGUGUUGGCUCUUUAAGGGCAAGGGUACUGGAAAAGAGAGCUCGAAUUCGAGCCUUUACACUCGAAAGAAUGAAAGACCCCUCCAGCAAGUGGUGGCAGCUUUUCCAUUACAUCAAUCUUGGCACAGUCCACCUCAACGCCCUUACUUGACACUAGGUGUCCCAAGACUAUACCUUUAUGUACCAUAAAAUGGCAGUUUUCCCAAUUUAGCACCGGAUUAGUCUACAUACAUCUCCGCAAUACUCUUUUCAGAUUUCUAAGGCAAUCCUCAAAUUCGAGCUCUCUUUUCGAAUGUUCAACUAUAUAAUAUUUUUUCGAUCGGCAACACUCUUCACUUCUGAAAUGAAGGGGUUGUGGAUUGACUUGGAAAUCUGUGACCGAAAAGGAACGAAAAACCAAGUUGCCGAUCACUUGUCCAGGCUUGAAGGUGCUGAAAUGAAGGUUGAAGUGGAAGAGAUCAUGGAGACUUUUCCAGAUGAAUAACUGUUGGCCACGAGCCUUGAGGUAGCACCAUGGUAUGCAUAUAUUGCAAACUACCUAGCAAGCGGUAUUGUUCCCUAUGACUUAUCUUAUGUGUAGAAGAAAAAGUUCUUUCAUGAUGGUCGCAUGUAUUUCUGGUAUGAACCAUAUAUGUAUCGGAUUUGUAUUGAUAACAUGAUCCGGAGAUGUAUUCCCGAGAUAGACCAAGCUUCUGUUUUGCAGGCAUGUCAUGCUUUGCCUUAUGGAGGUCAUUUUGGAGGAGUAAAGACAACUGCUAAAGUUUUGGAGUCGGGCUUCUAUUGGUCGAUGUUGUUUAAAGAUGCACACUUUUGGGUAAAUAGCUGUGAUGAAUGUCAAAGGAGGGGGAAUAUUUCCCGUCGACAUGAGAUGCCCAUGAACCCAAUUCAAGAAGUGGAAGUAUUUGAUGUAUGGGGAAUUGAUUUUAUGGGACCAUUUGUCAACUCAUACAACAACAAGUAUAUACUCGUAGCAGUGGUCUAUGUCUCGAAAUCGGUAGAAGCUGUAGCACUUCCAAUAAAUGAUGCAAAGGGAGUUAUUGGUUUUCUAAGAAAAAAUAUCUUCACCCGAUUUGGAACUCCAAGAGCAAUCAUCAGUGAUGGAGGAACUCACUUCUGCAAUCGAGCCUUUGCAAAGUUGCUGGAAAAAUAUGGUGUAUGCCAUAAGGUUGCCACUCUGUAUCACCCACAAACAAGUGGGCAAGUUGAGGUAUCGAACAGAGAAAUCAAGAGUGUUUUGACCAAAACUGUAAAUGCUACUCGGACUGAUUGAGCGAAAAAAUUGGAUGAUGCACUAUGGGGCUACCGCACUGUAUUCAAAACUCUGAUUGGUAUGUCACCGUACAAAUUGGUAUUUGGAAAGGCGUGUCACUUACCUGUGGAGCUAGAGCAUGGAGCUUUUUGGGCAUUAAGACAAUUAAAUCUUGACAUGGAGGUCGCUGGUACGAGUAGAGUCACAGAGCUUCAUGAACUUGAUAAGUUUCAUUACCAUGCUUUUGAAAGCACCAGGCUAUACAAGGAAAGGAUGAAUAUCAUGCACGAUAAGCACAUUCUAGAUAGGAACUUUAAACCCGGAGAUCUGGUAUUGUUAUACAACUCGAGAUUGAGAUUAUUUUCGGGUAAGCUGAAAUCUAGAUGUUCGGGACCAUUUAGAGUUGUGCAAGUAUUCCCAAGUGGAGCUAUAGAAAUUGAGUUCGAAUGUGGAACUAAUAAGUUUAAAGUAAAUGGGCAAUGAAACACUACCUUGGAAUGAUUGAAGAAAAAAGGGAGAAAGAUGUGACGUACUUGAAAGAGCCCCAAUAUGUGAGCGAAACGGAAUCUUGAAAGCUUGCGUCGUGCCACGACGUUAAAUAAGGCGUUGCGUGGGAGGCAACCCACGACUUUAUGUCAUUAUUAGUAAUUUUUUAUUUGUGUUAGGGUAAAUUAAUUUUAUUUGGUUAGUUUGUUUGUUUUGUAGGAUUAAUACACAGCUGCGAAGUCCGCAGAGCAAAUAAGUUCACCCAAGAAAGGAUUAGCUCAAAAGUUUCACUAAUUAUUGUAACUGUUAAAAAAAAAGAAAAAAAUAAAUCUGCGUAACAGUGUGCUAAGAGAGUAUAGCACAGGGAUAGCACAACAAGGUAAAAUGUUUUUUCCCUUAACAUUGUGCUAAGAGAGUAUAGCACAGGGAUAGCAUAACAAGGCAAAUAUUUUUUCCCUUAACAGUGUGCUAAGAGAGUAUGGCGCAGGCAUAGCACAAUACGGCGAAAACGUUUCUUCCCUUAAUAGUGUGCUAAGAGAGUAUAGCACAUGGAUAGCACAGCAGGUGAUGCAGAUGUGGAGGACGUCGGUGAUUCUGAUGCUGGCGACUCCGACUACACUACUUAGAGGGAGAGAGAGAGAGAGAGAGAGAGAGAGAGAGAGAGAGAGAGAGAGAACUUGAAGUAAAGAGAAUUCACUCCUUGGAAAGUUGUAUUUUGUGAGAGUCACCUAAGUUGUUCUUGAACCUCCUUUCUGAGCUUAUGUUUGUACAUUGACGGUGAAACUGAGUGACUUGUAAAUCCCAUGUAUAUUGUGUGAGGAUUUUUUGUUGUGCAUUUUCGUGUAUGCAUGUCAGUCUAGAACUUGCCCUGCCUGUUGUUUGAGGAGAAAUCUUAGGAAGUUUUGAUCCUUAGAGUGAUAGUAGGCCUUCUUUGAUAUAAACCACUUGUGUCUAAAUUAGCCUACCAAUUGAAUGAAUAUCCCUAGUGUCCUAAUUUGCGCCUAUUAACCUUUUUUUUUUUGCAACCCAUGUUACAAGCCAUGUCCAUUUUGCAUUAAUCUCUCUUGUUAACCCAUCUUCCCCUUAGCUACUUUAGGUUGUGUGAUUGGACAGAAGUUGUGGUUAUGAGAAAAUAUUAUUGGAAACUCAAAGUUGCACCAAAGAAUGAAAGUUAAGUCCCUUGAUACUCCUUUUUUGAAGAUCCAUUAUUAAAAAAAUGUAGCUGGGAAAAAUAAGAGGGAGACAAAAGAAAAUAAUAAGUUGGUACUUCGGUGUUCGAGCUGCGGAAAAAAAAUAUGGAAAGUGUCUACUGAGAAAAGAGUGGGAAACAUAGAUGUUAGUGAUGCUUAAAGUAUUUAGGGGAAGAUUUAGUCACUAUAUAACCAAAAGUGCCCAUACCUUACCCAAGCCAACAUUACAAGCUUUGAAUAGUCCUACUUGACUGUGGAUUGAGACUCCUACAUUAGUGGAUAAUGACAGAAUGGGAAAGCUUAUGGUACUGUAUGUGUUGCAUGUGAAAUUCCUUGAUGAGUGUGAGUGUUUUGUUUUAUAUGCCCUAGUGCUUGUAAUUUGUUAUCAUAGAUGUGUGUUUUGGGAGAAUUUCUUUGUUUGUGAGGUACAAUGGGAUUUGUGAGGAGCAAAAGUAUCGAGUUUCAAUAGAUGAAUCUGAAAAAAAGAAAGGUGUUCACUCUUGUGGUUAAUAUCUCUGAAUAAUUGCUUGACAGGGAGUUUGAAUGAGCUUGACUGUUACUUUGUGAUUUGUCUGUGAUAUCAUGUGUUUGCUCGAGGACAAGCAAAAAUCUAAGUAUGGGUGGUGAUAAUAUGCUAGAAUUACAUGUAAUUGGAUAUGUUUACCCCUACUUUGGUGUGUUUUUAGGUGUUUUGAAUGCUGAAAGAUGACCAAUCGAGCUUAAUUGUUGAAGUUUGUUAUGUAGGAAGCCAAAAGUGAAGAAUAAAGGUGGUUUGAGUAAUAAUGAAGCUAAAAUAAAAAUUUUGAAGAAAAGGAAAAUUGGACCAGGCAGUGAAGUAACUUCGAAAAGCACAGGGAAAGCACAGAAAAAUCUAGAAAACACAACCAGGCCCUGUGCGAAGCACAGCUAUAGCACAAGGGCAAAUUUGCUUGCAUUUUAUCUUGAGGGGUAACUUAGUCAAUUGGCUUAGGGACGUGAUAUAAAAGCUUUCAACCCUAAUUGCAGCAACACACUUGACCUGAGAAGGAAAGAAACAUCAUUGUUGAAGCAAAGUUGAGCCCGUAAGAUCCUCAAGUUCAUUCAAGACGAAUCGAAGGGUUUCUCUCUACUUUUUAAUCUUUAUUUCUAUGAAUAUUGAUUUGACAAUGGUUUAUGUAUUUUUGAAUAGUGUUAUGAGUAGAUAAACUCUUUAAUCUAAGGUUUGAUGGAACCUAUUGGAGGAUGAUUUUCUACUGCAUUUAAAAUAUAUUUGCCUUUGAUUUUUCUCUACUUGUUCAACUAAAUUUUUAUUGUUAUUAAUUGAAGAGCUCUCAAUUAACUGUGCCUAUUUAGUGUGUAUAUUGAUCUAGAGAGAGUAUAUAUUUAGGUAGUUAUUAAACAACACCACUCCUAAUGUAGUUGAGAGAUCGAUGCGGAGGGUUUAAAGGCGGGAUUAGAGAUAACGAAGCCUUGGUAGGAUCGUCGUGAGCGGUAAAUUAGUGCCAGCUAGCGUAGUUCGAGAAAAUACGUCUAGUAAAUUGUAGUAGUUACUUGAGAGAGAGCUACGAUACUUAAAGUACUCACGAUCGGUAGAGAAUAUUUAGGCAAAUUUAUAGGAAACGUAGCAGGGAAGAUUCCGACAAUAGGGAAAAUCAUAACCUUAGACUUUUCCAAAUCUUGUUUGUAAUAUUUGUUUUGUUAGUUAUAAAUUACUGCAUUUUUAAUUACAUUGAUUGUAGUUAAUAAACUCUUAAAUUUUUAUAUAAUAUUUCUGAAGGUUGAUUACUUGAAUUCGUGCAAAACUAUUAGUUGUAAUUAGCAUGUUAUUUUUCCUGUGGGAUUCGACUCCGGACUUGUAAACCGGAUUAUAUUUUUAACGACUGCUAGACCUCUUAGGAGGCAUAGUUGGGCGUGAUCACACGACAUCACCCUUGUGCUUUAACUCUCAUCCUCACCAUAUAAUAUAAAUGUAAUGGCAUGACAUCACCCUUUGUGCAUUUACUCUCAUCCUCAUCAUAUAAUAUAAAUGUAAUGGCACGACAUCAUCCUUCGUGCUUUUACUCUCAUCUACACAUGAUAAUGAUAAUAAAGCAAUCAAGUGCACGGCAUCACCCUUCGUGCUUUAAUCCUCACAUUCACUCAAUCAAUGAUAACAAUAUGUAAAUAUGGCACGGCAACACCCUUCAUGUUUUUCACUCUUCCUCACCAAGAAACAAUAAUAACCCAAAGUAUCAAGCAAGGUGGGAAGCAAAUUUCAACUUCAACCGUGGUGCUAGAAUGAGCAAUUUCAACUUUCAAUAUUACUACAACUUCAAAAUAAGCAAUAAAUACGGAAGCGAACAAUUAAAGAGUAACGAUCUAAUUAAGACAUGGAAGGCAUGGCAAAUAAAACAACAUGGUUUAAAUAAGACAAAUUCCACAUGCAUGCUUUAACCUAUGACAAUGUAUAUAUACUCGUCACCUUACAUUUAUGUCGUCCCCACACAUAGUUCAUGUAGCAAAUAGACCAACAAGUCAUAAUUCUCUCAAGUCAAAGUUAACCAUGCCACUUACCUUACUCCACAACAAAUCAACAAUCAAUCACGACUUUGUCUUUCGAACAAGCCUCCAAACCAACCAAAUCUAGUCAAUUAUCGAUCAAACAAAUCAAAAUAAGCUUUAGAAACUAUCCACGAAUAAAAAAGGUUCAAUUUUGAUCAUUUUUUGAAAAAGUCAACCCCGGGCCCACUUAGUCGAAAUCCUAGAUUCGGACCAAAAUCCGAUUACCCAUUCACCCUCGAGCCCAGUUAUAUGAUUUAUUUCAAAAUUCGACCUCAAUUUGAGGUCUAAAUAUCAAUUUCACAAAAUUCCCAAAUUCUACUCGAAACCCCUAAUUUCUACAAUGAAAUUCUUAGAUUUGAUUUUAAAAAUCAUGAAAAGUAAUUGAAAUUAAAUGAAAACUAGUUAAAGAUAGUUACCAAUGAUUUUGGAAAGAAAAGCUCUCAAGAAAAUCGCUUCUAGAGUGUUUGGGGUUGAAAAAUGGUGUAACAUGAGUUAAGUCCCGAUUUUCAAUCUUUUACCCAACUGCAGAAGUCGCUUUUGCGAACACUAGCUCACAAAUGUGAUGUCCGCAAAUACAGGACACUGGUCACAAAUGCGAAUAGUGCAUCAAAUGCACAGAAGUCGCAAAUGCGACACAAACUUCACAUUUGCGAAGGUCCCUCCUUCGGCAAAUGCGAACUAAGCUUCGCUUUUGUGAAGCUGCCCCAAAGUUGCCAGAGCCGCAAAUGCGAGACUCCAGCCGCAUUUACGAUUUCCCAGCCUUUGCAAAUAGGUCCCUUUUUUUCAAAUGCGAAAUUCCCCAGUCCAAGUGCUUAUUGCAAAUGCGAUCACAUGACAGUAAAAACAAAGCUCGCAAAUCCGAGAUCUGCAGGCUUGCACAAGUAACUGUUGAGUACUACUAGUUCAAAAACCAUCCAAACUCAUCCGAUACUCACCCGAAACUCACCCGAGCUAUUUGGGCUCCAUACUGAAUAUGCACAAAAGUGUAAUAAUAUCAUACAAACUUGAUCACUACCUCAAAUCAUCAAAAUAACAUCAAAUAACAAGAAUCGAUCCUCAAAACUCAAGAUUUCAACUUGAAAAUUCAAUUUUCACAAUUUUUCAAAUAAUGCGCCUAAAUGCGCUCGGGUCACCCUGGACCCCAACCAAAUACGUGUACAAGUCUAAAAAUAUCAUACGAAUAUUCCUGAAUCGUCAAAAUAUCGAUCCUGGGUCGUUUACCAAAAAUAUUGACCGUGGUCAACUCUAGCCUCUUUAAAGUGAAAAAUCUCAUUUUCUUCAAAAUUUUACAUAAAAGAUUUUUGAAAUACGACACGGACCACGCAGGCAAAUUAAUAAACAUCAAAUAAAGCUGUGGGAGGUCUCAAAACACUAAAAUUAAGGCUAGUACUCAAAAUGACCUAUCGGACCGUCACAACUUAGUGGUCUAAAGUCAAAAUAUAUUAAAAGGCCUUUAAGCUUGUUUCACAUAAUUCAUAUGAUAAUGAGACACAAAAGAAAUUCACAUGGAAUUAGUCUAGUAGUAAGAGCUUAACCCGAAAUGUAUGGGUUAGACACACAUUACAGUUUCAAACUCUCCCGCAAAUAUAAGCAUGAUAUUUAAGUGAAAAACAGUAGAGAUAUGUAACGACCCAACCGGUCGUUUUGAGUAUUUGUAUGAAAUUUAGUGGUUUAAGGUCUUGAGUAGCUUCAUAUGAUAUAUUACGACUUGCGUGUAUUGUUGGUUUUGCUUUUUGAGAGAUUCAGGGCUUAUUUGGAAGAAUGAUUCUUAUUUUAGAAGCUUUCAAUUGGCAGAGUUGAUCAAGUUUGACUUUUGUGUAUUUGACCUCGGAUCAGAGUUUUAUCGUUCCGUUAGGUCCGGAUAGUUAUUUUGGAAUUGGGUGUAUGCCCGUAAGCUUCUAGAAGGUUUUGGACAUAAUUGGCGAAAGUUGAAAGUUUACAGGUUUAGAAUUUUCCUAAGUUUGAUCAUGGUUUGACUUUAUGGCUAUCGGGUUCGGAUUUUAGUUUCGGGACUUGGAAUAUGUACGUUUUAUUAUUUGUGACUUGUUUGCAAGAUUUUGUGUCUUUACGAGUUUGUUUGACAGGAAUCGGACGCGUGAUUGUAUUUUUAGAAGUUCUUGAAGUUCAUUGUGAUUUUCAUGUGUUUGGUGUCCGAAUCGUGGUUCCGGAUAUUAUCUUGGUGUUUUGAUCACACGAGCGAGUUAGUAUGAUGUUUAUGCACUUGUGUGGAUGUUUGCUAUGGAGCCCUGAGGGCUCGGGUGAAUUUCGGACGCGUUUCAGAGUGUUUGAGGGAGGUUCAUAUUUUGCUGGUGCUCUGGUCUCGCAUUAGCGAGGAAUCGGUUGCAUUUGCGAUCACCGCAUUUGCGAUUUUCUCCUUGCUUUUGCGAAGUCGACUGAGGCCUGCAGACUUUGAUUUUGCAAACUUUGGAUCGCAUUUGCGAUAGAGACCUGGGUUGGGGAAAGGUCGCUUUGUGACCAACUGGUCGCUUUUGCGAAAACGCCAGUGUUCGCAUUUGCGACAUUUUUGUCGCUUUUGCGAUGGUUUUAAAACUUUUCAAGCUUCGCUUUUGCAAUGGCUUCUCCGCUUUUGUGAGGGUUCACAUUUACAAACCCCGGGUUGCAAACGCGACAUCUACAGCUUGUUUAUAACAGAGUAUUUCGGGACUUAGCUUCAUUUUAUCAUAUUUUAAACUCUAGACUCGGUAGGAGGCUAUUUUGUGAAGAGAUUUUCAUAUCAAACUAUUGGGUAAGUGAUUUGGAUUAAUUUUUAACUAUAUUAUUUAAUUAUAUAUAAGAUUUAACAUCAAAUUCAUGAUAAUCUAAAAGAAUAUUUGGGAAUUUUGUUUAUAUUUUGAAAAAUAAAAAUUUGAGAUUUGAGAGUCGAAUUGGACUCGGAUUUGAAAAUAAAAUACAUAUAUGAACUCGUGGGGCUAUGGGUAGUCGAGACCUACCCUUCAACUCGGGUUUUGACCAGCGGGUCUGGGGUUGACUUUUAUUGACUUUUGAGGAAUUGAAUAAAGAUCAUAGCUUUAUGAAUCGUAAUUGGUUUCUCUUGCAUCGUGUGAUAUUAUUAAGUCAUUUUUGUCUAGAUUUGAGCCGAGUGGAGAUGAAUUUUAAAUGAAAAGCUAUUUUUGAGUAUUGAUUUGGCCUAAUUGAGGUAAGUAUCUUGCCUAACUUCGUAUGGGGGAACUACCCCUUAGGAUCAGGUUCGAUUAUACUAUUUGAAUUAUGUGGAAGGCGUAUACAUGAGGUGACGAGUGUGUACACGGGAUUAUAUGUGGUAUUUGACCGAUUUUGACUCUUAGGCUACUUAUAAGCAUUUAAUUAAAGUUGUUAUCAUAUGUUCUAUCAUUCGUUGUCAAGCUUAGUCUUACAUGCCUUAAUUGAAGUUGUUAUUGCAUGUUCUAAUUUUCAUUGUCAAGGUUUUUCUUAUAAGCAUUUAUUUAUAGUUGUUGUUACAUACUAUUCUCUCCAUUGUUGAGUUAUUCUCAUGCAUUUAGUCGUAGUUGUUAUUUCAUGCUAUCUCUUUCAUUGUUAAGCUUAUGUUGUGUACCUUAAUUGGAAGUUGUCAUUUCAUGAUAAUACCUUCAUUGUUGAGUUAUUAAAGUUGUAGUUGUGAAAGCUAUUAACACUUUAUGGUUGAAGUUGUUGAUUAUUGGGAUAUCUUUCCCUGUUGAGUUGUUUCUCAUUCAUUUUGUUCCUUGUUGAGUUGUUUCUCAUUCAUUUUGUUGUUAUUGAUACUUUUUACAUAUUGUAGUUGAGUCGUGGGCUAUGUUAUGGUAAUAUUAGUAUUGUUGAUUUUGACAAUGUUGUGGCAUAUGGGCAUGUGUGGUGCGAGUUGAUUAUUGUGUUGUGAUAUUGAUAUGCAUGCGGGCGUAUAAUGGUGGGUAUUGAAACGCAUGUGGUGAGAUAAGGUGGGAUUUAUACGCAUGUUACUAGUAAGAGAAUUACUUGAAGCCACACGAUAAGGGGCUAAAAUGUGUGUAGCUAUUUCGGGAGAAAUGUUUUUAAAAUAAAUGCAAGGUUCACGCGGUGAUAUAAGAAAAAUUAUGAUUAUGAUUGUGAAUUGUGAUUAUGAGGUGUGGUACUUCGGUUGUGACUCUGAUUGUACAUUCUAUGGUGGAACAACUUGUUGAUUGAACAUUUAUCAUUUUCCUUACAUCAUUUCACUUGUGUUUUGGUUGUAUUUGGUGAUUUGUUGUUAUUCUUGAGUUGGAAUGACCAUGACUUCUUGUGUGAGUCAAGCAUUCUACAUGAUUUGAUGUGUUGCUUUGAUGUAUCAAUUCGUGUAUCUGUUGUUACUGAGUGAGUUGAUUGUCAAGAUGAAUUUACUUGCGUAGAGUCAUUAUCUCAAAUUAUGUUGAGUUGUUGGUAACAUGACGGUUUUAAAUAAAAGGAUUAUUAACAUGCUUUAUUUUAUGUGACUCUUAAGAUAAAACUCGUUAUCUCACUCGGUGCUUUUCUAAUUUUUAAAUGGUUAUCAUAUUUUACUUUAAUUGAUUCUCAGAUUAAACUCAUUACCCUAUAUGAUGUUUUACUUUAAAAAUGUUAUUUUACUUUACCUUAUAGAUUUCUAAACACUCAUUUGAUACUCUAUUUUGUAUAAAUUGUACUUUAUUUUACUUUAUUUGAUUUCUAAAAUAAACUCACUAUUUUAUUUGAGGCUUUACUUUAUUCAAGAUUGUUAUUAUGCCUUAUUAUAUUUAAAUAAAUCUCUCAAAAAAUUUAUUUGGCAUUUGACACGGAUAUAUUGUAUAUGAGCACGUGGGCUUUGCCGUGCGAAGGUGAUUGACAGUGUGGGCACGAGGUGCCAUGUGUGCCAGAUUUGUGAUUGUGGCCUAUGAUUUGCAAUCAGGGGGUGUGGUGCCUCUGAGUGAUUCUUGUUGUAAAUCAUUUGUCGGAACGACUUGAUUCUCUUGACUAGUCAUUUGUUCCUUAAUUGAUGUCAUUCAAACUUUGAUUGUGUUCAUUAAUUUACUUCUUUAUUUCUUGUUUACUUCUUGUUGUCAUUUGCUGCUUCUAUUAUUCCAUUGUUAGCCAUAUAUUCAUGAUCUCCCUGUAGUUAGCUUUAUAUUGAUGCUCCUUCCAUUGUUAGCUUUAUAUUUAUAUGCUCGCACAUGUUAUUGUCUAGUGGGUGUCUUGACUUACCUCGUCACUACUCCACUGAGGUUAGUCUUGAUACUUACUGAGUACCGUUGUGGUGUACUCAUGCUACGCUUCUACAUAUUUUUGUGCAGAUCCAGGUACUUCGGAUCAUGUGGGUUUUGAGAGCGGUGCCUAUGCGGUUGGAGACUUCAAGGUAUACCUGCCGUUUCGUUCGCAGGUCUCGGAGUCACCAUCUUACUUCAAUAUUCUACUGCUAAAUUGGAAUUCAAAACAGUAUUAUUUUUAUGUAUUGUAUUGUGUACUCUCCGUAGAACUUAUGACUCUGUAUUACCGAUUUUUUUGGAUUUUGUGAAAGUUGUAUUAUGGUAUUGGUUGUGCUUUGGGUCAUUUUUCUCAGUUUUAUUUAAUAUUAAAUUGUCUUAUCUUAUCAGAUGUUGUUGUGUGUUAGGCUUACCUAGUCUUUGAGUUUUAAGGCACGAUUUUACAUUUUCAUCAAUUUUCUCAUAAAACCUUCUGGAAGAAGACACAGACUGCACACGCAAAUCGAGAAAGGCUAAACAUAGCUAUUCGGGGUCUCAGAACAUAGAAAUGAAGGCUAAAACUAAAGAUGACAUAUUGAGUCAUCACAUUCUCUACCUCUAAAUCAAACGUUCAUCCUCGAACGGACAUAGAAAAGUACCGGGACUGGUGAAAAGGUGUGGAUAUCUACUCCGCAUGUCCGAUCAGACUCCCACGUGGCUGCCUCGUUCGGUGACCUCUCCAAUGUACUCGAACUGAAGGAUAACUCUUAGACCUCAACUAUCGGACAUGCCGGGCUAGAAUAGCCACCGGCUCCUCCUCACAAGUCAAAUCCUUGUCCAAUUGGACUGAGCUGAAAUCUAAUACAUUUGAAGGAUCACCAUGAUACUUCUGGAGCAUGGACAUAUGGAACACCAGAUGGACAGCUGAUAAACUAGGUGGCAAUGCGAGCCUGUAGGCCACCUCACCUACUCUCUCAAUAAUCUCAAAGGGUACGAUAGACCUAGGACUCAACUUGCCCUUCUUCCCGAACCUCAUCAUACCCUUCAUGGGUGAAACCCGGAGCAAUACCCUCUCUCCAACCAUGAAUGCAACAUCACGAACUCUACGAUCGGCAUAACUCUCCGGCCUAGACUGAGGGUGCGAAGUCGAUCCUGAAUAAUCUUGACCUUAUCCAAGGCAUCCUGUACCAAACUGUACCCAACAACCGAGCUCCCCCCUCCCCCCCGCUCGAACCAUCCAACUGGCGAAUGGCACCGCCUUCCAUAUAAUGCCUCAUAGGGUUCUAUCUAAAUGCUCAACUGGUAGUUGUUGUUGUAGGCAAACUCCGCAAGCGGCAAGAACUAAUCGCAAGAAACCCCAAAAUCCAUAAUGCAAGCACGAAGCAUAUCCUCCAAUAUUUGAAUAGUGCGCUCGGACUUCCCUUUCAUCUGGGGAUGAAAUGUUAUACUCAACUCCACCCCGCAUGCCUAAAUCACGUUGUACAGCCCUCCAGAAGUGCAAAAUGAACUGGUACCUCGAUGAGAAAUGAUAGACAUGGUCACACCGUGAAGACGGACGAUCUCGCAGAUGUAGAUCUCAGCUAACCGCUCUGAAGAAUAGGUAACUGCCACUGGAAUGAAAUGUGCCGACUUGAUCAACCUAUCCACAAUGACCCAUACCGCAUCGAACUUCUUCUGAGUCCGUGGGAGUCCAACAACAAAAUCCAUAGUGAUACGCUCCCACUUCCACUAAGGAAUCUCUAACCUCUAAAGAAAACCACCAGGCCUCUGAUGCUCGUGCUUUACUUGCUGACAAUUUAGACACCGAACUACGUAUGCAGCUAUAUCCUUCUUCAUACUCCUCCACCAAUAAUGCUUCCACAAGUCCUGAUACAUCUUGUCGGCACCCGGAUGAAUAGAAUACCAGGAACUGUGGGCCUCCUCAAAAAUCAACUCCCAAAGCCCAUCCACAUUGGGCACACAAAUACGGCCAUGCAUCCGCAAAACCCCAUCAUCUCCAACAGUAACUUGCUUGACACCACCGUGCCGCACCGUGUCCUUAAGGACAAGCAAAUGAGGAUCAUCAUACUGACGCUCUCUGAUGCGCUCAUACAAGGAUGACCGAGCGACUGUGCAAGCUAGCACACGAAUGGGCUCUGAAAUAUCUAACAUCACGAACUGAUUGGCCAAAGCCUGAACAUCUGUUGCAAGAGGACUCUCACCAACUGGGAUAUAUAUAAGGCUACCCAUACUCACUACCUUUCUGCACAAGGCAUCGGCCACCACAUUGGCCUUCCCGGGGUGAUACAAAAUGGUGAUAUCAUAGUCUUUCAACAGGCUCCAACCACCUACUCUGCCUCAAGUUGAGUUUCUUCUGCCUGAACAAAUACUGUAGACCCCGAUNNNNNNNNNNNNNNNNNNNNNNNNNNNNNNNNNNNNNNNNNNNNNNNNNNNNNNNNNNNNNNNNNNNNNNNNNNNNNNNNNNNNNNNNNNNNNNNNNNNNNNNNNNNNNNNNNNNNNNNNNNNNNNNNNNNNNNNNNNNNNNNNNNNNNNNNNNNNNNNNNNNNNNNNNNNNNNNNNNNNNNNNNNNNNNNNNNNNNNNNNNNNNNNNNNNNNNNNNNNNNNNNNNNNNNNNNNNNNNNNNNNNNNNNNNNNNNNNNNNNNNNNNNNNNNNNNNNNNNNNNNNNNNNNNNNNNNNNNNNNNNNNNNNNNNNNNNNNNNNNNNNNNNNNNNNNNNNNNNNNNNNNNNNNNNNNNNNNNNNNNNNNNNNNNNNNNNNNNNNNNNNNNNNNNNNNNNNNNNNNNNNNNNNNNNNNNNNNNNNNNNNNNNNNNNNNNNNNNNNNNNNNNNNNNNNNNNNNNNNNNNNNNNNNNNNNNNNNNNNNNNNNNNNNNNNNNNNNNNNNNNNNNNNNNNNNNNNNNNNNNNNNNNNNNNNNNNNNNNNNNNNNNNNNNNNNNNNNNNNNNNNNNNNNNNNNNNNNNNNNNNNNNNNNNNNNNNNNNNNNNNNNNNNNNNNNNNNNNNNNNNNNNNNNNNNNNNNNNNNNNNNNNNNNNNNNNNNNNNNNNNNNNNNNNNNNNNNNNNNNNNNNNNNNNNNNNNNNNNNNNNNNNNNNNNNNNNNNNNNNNNNNNNNNNNNNNNNNNNNNNNNNNNNNUAACCCGCCAAACCCAGAAAACUCCGGAUCUUUGUAGCUGAAGUAGGUCUAGGCCAGUUUUGAACUACCUUAAUCUUCUUAGGAUCCACCUUUAUGCCCUUCGCAAAUACAACAUGCCCCAAAAGGCGACCGAGUCUAAUCGAAACUCACACUUUGAAAACUUGGCAUAUAACUGGAUAUCUCUCAGAGUCUGAAGUACAACCCGAAGAUGCUGCUCGUGCUCCCCUCGACUGCGGGAGUAGAUCAAGAUAUCAUCAAUGAAUACAAUCACAAAAGAAUCCAAGUAGGGCUUGAGCUCUCAGUUCAUCAAAUCCAUGAAUGCUACUGGGGAAUUUGUCAAUCCAAAUGACAUCACUAGGAACUCAUAAUGCCUAUACCGAGUUCGAAAAGCCAUUUUAGGGACACUGAAUGCCCUAAUCUUCAACUGAUGGUAGCCGGACCUCAAAUCAAUCCUCGAAAACACUUUGGCACCCUGAAGCUGAUCAAAUAAGUCAUCAAUCCUCGGCAACGGAUACUUCUUCUUGAUUGUGACUUUGUUCAACUGCCGAUAGUUUAUACAUAUCCUCAUCGACCCAUCUUUCUUCUUCACGAACAACACGGGCUCACCCCAGGGCGAGACACUAGAUCUAAUGAAUCUCUUAUCUGGCAAAUCUUGCAACUGCUCCUUCAAUUCCUUCAACUCUAGCGGGGCCAUACGGUAUGGUGAAAUAGAAAUGGGUUGGGUGCCCGGAGCCAAAUUAAUACAAAAGUCAAUAUCUCUAUCGGGUGGCAUCCCUGGCAGAUCUGCAGGAAACACCUCUGGAAACUCACGAACAACUGGUACUGAAUCCAUAGAAGGAACCUUCACACUAGAAUCGCGGACAUAGGCCAAAUUAGCUAGACAUCCCUUCUCGACCAAACAUAGAGCCUUCAUAUAGGAAAUAACUCUACUGGUAGAGUGGCCAGGAGUCCCUCUCCACUCUAAUCGAGGCAACCCCGGUGUGGCUAAGGUCACCAUCUUGGCAUGAUAGUCCAAUAUAGCAUGAUAAGGUGACAGCCAAUCCAUACCCAAGAUAACAUCGAAAUCUACCAUAUCAAGAAGUAGAAGAUCUAAGCUAGUCUCAAGACUGCCAAUGGUAAUCACACACAAGCGAUAGACAUGAUCUACAACAAUGGUGUCUCUCACAGGAGUGGACACAUACAUAGGAGCACUCAAAAAAUCACGAGGCACAACCAGAUAUGAAGCAAAAUAGGAUGACACGUGGGAAUAAGUAGAUCCUGGAUCAAAUAGAACUGAAGCAUCUCUAUGGAAAACUGGAACAAUACCUGUGAUAACAACGUCGGAUGACUCGGCCUCAGGCAUGGCUAGGAAAGUAUAACAUCGGGGUUGGGGCCCACCACUCUGAACCACAUCUCUAGGACGGCCUCUAGCUGGCUGGCCUCCACCUCUAAUGGCCUGACCUCCACCUCUAAUGGUCUUACCUCCACCUCUAGCUGCCUAACCCCUGCCUCUAGUUGGCUGAGUGGGCGGUGGAGCAAGCGGUGCCAAAAUCAUGGCACGAGAACCCUGCUGCUGCACACUGCCCUGUGACCAGGGGCCAAACCUAGCAAUGUGCCUCGGAUUACCACACGUAUAACAAGCCCUCGUCUAUUGUAACUGCUGACCCUGGAACUGGCCCUGUCGACCUGGGUAACCACUCUGAUAACUCUAGAUCGGAGGUGCCCUAAUAGGAGCUAGUGGUGCACUGUAGGCUAGCUGCUCAAGAUGAGAUACAUAAGGACCACGACUCCCCGAAGCACUGUAAGAUGCUUGAAGCGCUGAAUGAAAUGGCCUGGGAGGAUGACAUCUACCAAAAGUACCCCUACCUCCAGAUGAGGCACCACUGAAUUGGAAUGAUGAGGCCUCUUAUCUGACACCGGCCCCCUCUCUUGAGCACGAAACAACUCGAUCCGUCUAGCAAUAUCUACGACCGUCUGGAAAGAAAUAUCACUCCCGGUCUCCUUGGCUAUCUGUAACCUGAGAGUGAAAGUGAGCCCAUCAAUAAAUCUGCUCACUCUCUCUCUCUCUCAGUAGGAAGAAAGAUAGUGGCAUGGCUGAGCUAGGUCCAUAAAUCGAGUCCCGUACUAGGUAUUGGUCAUACCACCUUGCUGAAGACACUCGAACUGCCUGCGUUACUCCUCUCUUAGAGUGACAUGAAUAAACUUCUCUAAAAAUAGUUGUGAGAACUGAUCCCAGGUAAGUGCAGGAGAACCAGUUGGUCUAGUCAACAUAAUCUCUCCACCAUCUCCGGGCGGAACCAGUCAUCUAAAAAGCUGCAAAAUCGACCCCAUUGGUCUCAACUAUACCCAUGUUGCGCAAUACCUCGUGGCAAUGAUCCAGAAAAUUAUAUGGGUCCUCAGAAGAUGCACAACUGAAAUGAAUAAGAAAGAGCUUGGUAAACUUAUCCAACCUCAACAUAUCGACAGAAGACAAAGCGGGCCUAUCACCGGCCUGUGCCGCAACAAUUGGCUGGACUACUCCAACUAGCAGGGCUGCUGGAGUCUGGUACUGGGGAGCCACCUGCUCCAGGUUGUGAUUAGCGGGAGUCUGUGCUCCUCCCCCGCCCCGAGAGAUGGCUGGUUCCACUUGAAAGGUACUGGUCUGGGCCAUACUCUCUAUAAGGCCCACCAAACGGACUAGAGCGUCCUGAAGCAUUGGAGUGGCUAUGAACCCCUCCGGAACCUGAGCUGCUCCGGCAGGAACAGUCUGAGCUGGAACCUCCUCCUUAAAAUCUACCUGAGGCUCCACUGCGGGUGCUGCUGCUCGAGCUCUAGGCUGAGCUUUGCCUCUGCCUCUACCUCUAGCGUGACCUCUGCCCCUAGUCGUAGCUGCCAUAGGGGGCUCCGGCUCCAGUCCGGCUAUAGAUGCAGUGCGUGUUCUCGCCAUCUGCGAGAGAACAAGAAUGGAAGGGUUCAAUCAUUAAUGAUAGAAUAAAAUCGCACGAUAGAGUAAUAAAGAAGUGAUAUUUUUCCUAAACUCCAUAGCCUAUGGAAGAUAAGUACAGACGUCUCCGUACCGAUCCUCUAGACUCUACUAAGCUUGCUCGUGACUCGUGAGACCUAGGCAACCAAGUGCUCUGAUACCAACUUGUCACGACCCAAAAUCCCAACCUCGGGGUCGUGAUGGCGCCUAACAUCCACUUGCUAGACAAGCCGACGUGAGAUAGUUAAAUAGCCAAAUUUUAACAGUUCAACAAGGUAAUAAUAAUUAACGAGAGAUAGGAACUCAAUCUAAUACAACACCAGCAUAAGUCAUGUGAUAAUAGCUACUCCCAAAGAUCUGGAGUCAUGAGUACACGAGUAACUAGAAGUUCUACAAACAGAGUCUGAAAUAAAUACAAUUAUUUCGAAUGAAAUGAACAGUAAAAGAGGGAAGAGGAAGGGGACUCCAAGGUCUGCGGACGCCAGCAGAUCUACCUCAAGUCUCUGAUGCGAUAAUCUAAGCUGUUGCACCUCACGCACCACUAGGACAAAUAUCAAAAUCUACACAAGAAAUGCAGAAGUGUAGUAUGAGUAUAACCGACCCAAUAUACUCCAUAAGUGUCGAGCCUAACCUCGACGAGGUAGUGACGAGGCUAUGAUAGGACACUCACGUAAUUAAACCUGUACAAACAUAGAUAUGUACAAAACAACAACAAAACAGAGAUUUAACAAUGUACAAUUGAGAUGGGACAUGCAAAAGGGGGAAAAGAUACGAUAACUAUGACAGGUAUGACAACACAAGAUAGCCAAAUAAAUCAUCAACCAAUGAAGACAGAUAACAUACAAUUUAAAGAAGGCACGGCAUCACCCUUCAUGUUUUUACUCUCAUCCUUACCAUGAAAUGAUGACAUAAGUAAAAUAAAAUGGCGCGGCAUCAUCCUUCGUGCUUUUACUCUUAAUUUUUUAUGUAUCAAUGAAUAAUUGGGAAGAAUAGCGUGGCAUCACUCUUCGUGCUUUUACUCUCGAUCUCACCAUGUAACAAUGAAUAAAUGAUAUAGAUGGCAUGGCAUCACCCUUCGUGCUUUAAUUCUCUUCCUCACUAUGUAUUAAUUAACAAAUGAGAUAAUGAAAUGGCACGACAUCACCCUUCGUACUUUAACACUCUCCCAUACCAAGUAGUAAAGAUAACAUAAAUUCGGGAGAUAAAUAGUGCGGAGAAUGUACUUUACGUCAAAUAUGAUUCUAAGAUUCCAAACCUCAACUUCCAACAUACUCAACCAUUACCAAUUAAGCAAUAAUUACAGAAGGAAUGAUCAAAUAAGUAAUAAUCAAAUCUAAGUAUGGAUAUCAUAAUAAAAGGGCAACAAAUCACAAGGAAACAAGCUCCCUCCGCAUGCUUUAUCCAAACAACAACGCAUAAAUAUUCGUCACCUCACAUAUAUGAUGUACCCACAUGUUAAUCACGUAGCAAAUAGGCAAACAAGUCUUAAUCCCUCAAGCCAAAGUUAACCAAUACUUACCUCACUCCGCAAUCAAAUUAAAGCUCAACUAGGGCCUUUCCUCUAAAAUCUGCCUCCAAACCAAUCGAAUCUAAUCAAUUAUCAUUCAAACAAUUCAAAAUAAACAUUAGAAACUACCCAUGAGUGAAAAAGGUUCAACCUAUAAUGAUUUUGAAAAAGUCAAUCCCGGACUCGCUUGGUCAAAACUCGAGAUUUGGACCAAAACCCAAUCACACAUUCAACCCCGAGCCCGGUUAUGUAAUUAGUUUCGAAAUCCAACCUCAAGAUCUAAAUCCCAAAUUUACAAAAAUUCGUAAUUCUACCCAAAUCCCUAAUUUCUACCAUGAAAAUUCUAUAUUUGAUGUUGAAAACUUAUGAAAUGUAAUGGGUAAUUGAAAGAAAGUAGAUUAAAGUCACUUACUAGUGAAUUUAGGAAGAAAAUCUCUUGGAAAAAUCGUCUCUAGGGUGUUUAGGGUUGGAAAUUUGAAAGAAAUGAGCUAAUUCCCAUUUUUUUUCUCUUUUACCCAACUGCAAUUAUCUCAAUUGCGACACAGAGUUCGCAAUUACGAUGAUCGCAUCAACUCUUCGCAAAUGCGAAAAAGUCAUUGAGCCUGUUUUCAUCGCAAAUGCAACAAUUUUAUCGCAAAUGCGAACCAAGGCUGUCCGCAAAUGCGAAUAAUAUUUUGCAAAAGCAAAGCAGUACCAAGUCAGUCAGUGGUCGCAAUUGCGACCAACACAUUCGCAAUUGCGAAGAGACAGAGUCCGCAAAUACGAAAAAUUGCUCGCAAAUGCGAACUCUUCCCAACUCAGCCCAUGCUCGCAAAUGCGACUCAUUAUUCGUAAAAGCGAGGCUCGCAUUUGCGAGCCAAAGCUCGCGAAUGCGAGACCUGCAGUCCAUCACCAGAAGCAAACAUGCAUCAACUAUUCUUCUAAGUCCAAAAUUACUCUGUAUCCUAUCCGAAACUCACCCAAACCCCUUGGGCUCCAAACUAAACAUGCACACAAGUCCAAAAAUAUCAUACGAACUCGCUCGCUUGAUCAAAACACCAAAAUAACACCUAGAACUACGAAUCGGAUACCAAAAUGAAUGAAAUUUCUAUUGAAACCUAAGAACAUAAAAUUUUUCAACCGAACACCUGAAUCACGUCAAAUCAACUGUGUUUCGCAUCAAAUUAGGCAGACAAGUCAUAAAUACUGAAACGAACCUAUUCCGAGUUUCGGAACCGAAAUCCGAACCCGGUAGCAGCAAAGUCAAACUACGGUCAAACUUAUAAUUCUUUAAACCUUUAGAUUUCUAGUUUUCAACAAAUUGCGUUAAUUCAAGUUAGGGACUUUCGAAUUCGAUUCCGGGCAUACGCCCAAAUCCCAAAUCACGAUACGGACCCAGCGGGACCGUCAAAAUACUGAUCCGGGUCCGUUUACACAAAACGUCGACCGUAAUUAACUCAAAUGAGUUUUAAGGCACGAUUUCACAUUUUCAUCAAUUUUCUCAUAAAAACCUUCCGGAAGAAGAUGCAGACUGUGCACGCAAAUCAAGAAAGGCUAAACGGAGCUAUUCGGGGUCUCGGAACACAGAAAUGAAGGCUCAAACUGAAGAUGACCUAUCGGGUCAUCACAUUUAUACUUCCUCUCCACGAGAAAUAGUUUUUUUUUCUGCUAUUCUGGGUCAUUAAUUUUUUCGCAAAAGUUGGUCAAGCACCUUGACAACCCGUAGUAAGUACUAAAAAAUAAGUACAUCUAACGCACAAGAAGUUUGACUGAUAGGCUAUUAAUUUCAGCAAACCAUUGAUCUCAUAUUACUGAUUCACUAAUCAGACAAACCUAAGCUUUAAAAUAGGAAAUAUAUUGUGAUAAAAGCUUUAUACAUGAAAAUUUUAUUAAAGUUUGCCAAUUCAUCGUACUAUCUUUUGAAAACUCUACAGCAAUUUCAAAGGUACAAGGCCCUCUACAUAUAAUCAAUUUGUUAACCAGUGCUCUUGUAGUCUUGUUUAAGUUUAUGGCCAACUGAAAAUUUGAGAUUAACAUUGACACCAUUUGAAUACUGUUUGUCACCUACGAAGGCUCAACAGCUACUUGUACAGCAUAAUAAGACAAUUUAUAAUUGCCCUAUAGAGAUACUCCUAGCAAAGAAGUGCAGUUGCCAUAAAAGAUAAGAUACUAGUAUCAUUUUUUAAUUUACUUCAACAUUAUAGUGCAUAUCUUAUGAACAUUGUCUCAUCUAUGUUUAUUUUUGGUCGAAAUGAAAAUAUUUUAUUCAACCAAAUAAGCAGAUAUACACAACUAGCUCAAAUGGACUAUAGAACUAGUUCUCACAAAAAUAACCAAAUCAAAACCUAUAUAGCUAGAUCAUAUUGGAAACCUAUCAAGCUCGCUUUUUCAUUUACAAAAUGCCCUGCUCGACUAAAUGUACUUGAAAUAUUAUUUCCUUAACUCUGUCAGAAUAUACCCUACUCUUCAUAUGAAAUCUCCUGGAGUUCCUUUCAGCCCAAAUGUGGUAGAUGGUAGCAGCAAAGAGGAAUUCCAGAAUGGAAGCUUUAACACCUUUGUGAUUGAUUUGUGUGGAUAACAGCGUAACUUCAUUUUCCCACGUAGAAACUCUUCUGUCUGUUCCUUUCCACCUUAGAAAAUUCUGCCGCAUCUGCUUGCUAUAUGAGCACUCAAAGAACAGGUGAGAAUGAGUUUCCUCAUUAUUUGUCGAACGUAGGACACACUUAAGUGGCACCUGGAUCCCCCACUUUCUCAAUCUGUCAACAAUAAUAACCUAUUUUGCGGUGCCAGCCAUAUGAUGAAAUGAUGCUUUGGAAUAAGACCUUUCACCAUGAUAAGUGUCUUCUAUUUUACCUUCUGGUAUGUGCACAAGAAGGAUAGGUAAACUUUUGUUUAUGCUGAAGGAUCCAUUCACAUUGAACCUAUCAAAUACAGAGUCAUGAAUGAUGUGUUGCAGUGUUUAACCAAUCUCUAACAUCCAAGACUUUUCUCACCAACCAACUUGCUUGCUUUGGUGUAGUAACCUCAGUUCAAUUUCUCCUUUUUAUAUAGAAUGUAUGAAUCCAUUUUACCCAGAGCUUGCUAAUUCCAGAUUGUUGCUUUGUCCAUAACAAGAAGUUCAGGAUGUUUAAGCCUCCUACUGUUCUUAGUUGGCAUAUCUUAUCACAGACUACUAGAGCUUUUCUUGAAUACUCAUUUGAGCAUGUCCAGAGAAAGUUCAUGCACGCACUUGUUACCAUAAACAUGAUCUUUUGUGGAAGCAAAAAGACUUGAGCCCAAUAGGUUUGGAUCUUAAACAAUACACUUUAAUUAAGUUGUAGUCUGCCUCCAUAGGAAACGAAAUCUAAAAGUGAAACACCUGAUUCUAACAAUAAUUUUAUCCACGAAAGAUAAACAUUGACUGACUGUGAGUUUCCUGGAUGAGAGGGGGACCCCUAAGUAGUUUAAUGGCAUCAAUCCCAUAGAAAAGUUUAGUUCUACUGCUAGUUGAUUCUUGAAUUCAUCAGACAUACCAGCAAUUUACAAAGAGCUUUUGUCUAGAUUCAGGCCUGAUGCAACAGAGAAAUGAUCAAAGUAUUUCAACAUUGCCUGCAUGGAUAUUUUAUCAGCCCUGCAAUAGAUAAGCAAAUCACCAGUAAGGCAAAUAUGAACCAGGUUCAUUUUUGCACACUUAGGGUGAUAGUUGAAGUCUGGGUUAAGCCUUAGCUGCUUCAAAGAUCUAUUGAGAUACACCAUUACCAAAACAAAGCGAUAAGGGGACAUAGGGUUACCCUGUCUCAGACUUCUCUUGGCUUCAAAUUUGAUAGUCAAACCCCUUAUUGACUAGGUGAAUAGCUAAUUGUGGUUACAGGUCAUGAUGAGUUUAACAAGCCAGGUAGAAAACCAAUACUCCAAUAAAACCAUUCUCGGGAAAGGCCAUUCGGCAGUAAAAUAAGCUUUUCUGAUAUCCAACUUGAGCAUACAUCUGGGAGAGAUAUUCUUCUGAGUAUAACCUUUGGUCAACUCAUGAGCUAUGAUAACAUUGUCAAGGAUAUUUUUACCCUUAAUGAAAGCUGAUUGAGAUGCUCCAACCAAUUUAUCCACCGCUGUUUUAAGUCUCAAAGUCAAUACUUUGGCUAUCAACCAACAACCAAUAGGUCUAAAGCCCUUUACAUAAGUAGGAUUAGGUACCUUUGGCACUAAGGUGACUGUUGUGCAAUUAAUAGCCUUAAGUAGUUUACUAUUCUGAAUGAACUAGAGUAUAAAUGUGAUAAUGUCCGCUCCGAUUAAUGGCCAGAAUUCCCUGGCAUAUCCCUUAAAUCCCGUAGGAUUUCUUCCCAGCUAACAGGUUUUAGUAGUUGUUGUUGAAUCAAGGUAAGGCAAGGUCCAUCUCAGACUAUAUUCACAUCAAUACAAGGCAGUUCUUGUGCAGCUUCCCAGUAAGAUUUGAAAGAAUUGAAUAAAUUCCUUCUGUAACUGCUCAGGGUCUGUAAUUUUUAGGUUCUACUCGGUAAAGAUGUUGGACACUCUAUUUCUGGCUAGUCUAGCCUUCAAGUAGGCAUGAAAGAAUUUAGAGUUUGCAUCCCCACAGGUGAUCCAUGUAGCUCUGGAUUUCUGUCUUAGUACCUUUUCUUGUAUUGCUUCCCAUUUUUGUAGUUCUAUAAUAAUUUCCUUUUCAUCAUUUAUUAGCUAGGGAUUGAACAGGUUAGCAUUAAGACUAUCCUGCACAUCCUUCAGUUUCACAUGCAUAUUAUUCAAUCUAUUCUCCAGAGAGGAGAAUUCUUUGGUCAUGCCUCUCGUUUGCAUCUCAAUCUCUUUUAGUUUGCUCCAGAUUGCAAACAUAGUAUGACCUGCUUUGGAUUCUCCCAAACUGUGUAUACCUGUUGUUUGAAACUCUUUUGAUUCAGUAGAACCUGUAACAGUCUAAAAGGUUUCUUAGUCCUUUUAGUUGUCACUUUAGUAUCAAGUACAAUGGUAGAAUGGUCUGAGCAUUCAGGGUUCAUAUAUAUAGCUUCAAUACAGCCAAACUUGUGAAACCAUUCUACAUUUCCAAAGACUCAUCAAUAUGGUUGUAUAUUCUUUUAGCAACAUCUCUUAUAUUGCACCAAGAGUAAUCGCAACAUCUUCUAGUAAUUUGGCCUAAACCCAGAUCAUCUAUACAGUUUUGAAAGUAUGUAGUUUCAUUGAUAUGGACAGGAGCCCCAUUCGUUCUAUCUUCCACAGUUAUUAGAGUGUUGCAAUCACCAAGUAUAACCCAACAAUGUAUCGUUUGGGAAGAUGUCAUUUCCACUACUACAUCAACAUCUUGUACUUUCACCCAAUCCACAUUCGACCAUUAGGAGCAUAUUCAUAAUUAGAGCAGAAUUUUCAGUCAACACCAAAGCUCUUUUGUAUCUUUUUAGCAUUGUUAGCCUUUACUCUAGUCUCAAGAAUACCUUAACAUCAACUUUAUUCUCAAGCAAAAAGUUCUCGAGUUCUUUUAUCUUAAAGGGCCUAUUGAGCCCUCUAAUAUAUUCCAGGAGCAGAUGAUCAUGGGGUGGGUUUGCCUUGGGAGGUAACCCUUGACUAAUAUAUCUCUCUGCAUAGCAACAGCACCAGCUUUUCCCUUAUCUGGCUUCUUUGGAGACUUGCCCUCUUGUAUCCUCAAUAGUUCAAAUUGAUUCAUAGCUUUUGGCAAAUCAUAGUUGACCAGAAAGUCUAGUUCAGUGUCAUCCUCCUGGUGAUCAUCACCUUGGAUAACAACCCGCUUCCCAUUUGCUACAACCUGAGUUUGUCCUGGAGAUUCAUGCAUAUCCUUCACCUCAGCCUGAUUGUAGUACACAGAGUCUUGCUGCUUAGUGUCAACUGCUUCUGUCUGUUUAGCUAUCCAUUCAGUUCUAGUAUGCUUCUUCUUUGUAUUUAUUUGCAGGAGGUAUCGUUUCAACUUAAUUAUCCUCUCUUUUGUAUUACCCUGAGAGGUGACCAAAUUGAUGGCAGUCGAAGCAGAGUUUUGGCUUCCAUUCACAGUCAAUGCUCUGCUCCCAAAUGCUACCAUCUGGUCGUUCGAUUAGCAGCACAUCAGGUAGUACUUGGGAUAAAUCUAACUCCACAAAAACUCUUGCAUAUGAUACUCUUUCACUCUAGACAGUCAAUUUAUCUCUGUAAAUUGGUUUGCCUAAGAAGCUUGCAAUCCUUCCUAGGUUUACUUUUGUCCAGUAAUGCAAAGGAAGACCAGGAAGUAUCACCCAGAGGGGAAUAACACGCAUUGGUUCAUUUUGGAUUUGGAAUUUCAGCUCUCGUCUUUCAAAAUCAUAGGUCGGUUAUUGAAUGUGUAUGGCCCAUUCUGCAGAAUCAUGGCCUUAUCCUCCUUUAUAUCAAACCCAAAUAUGAAAUACCCAUCAUCGUGCAGAAAUCGAAGUAGCUACUGAUUUCCAAACCCCAUAUACAAACUUCAACAUUUCUUUAAAAGCAGGGUUGCCACCCAAUACGUAUCCAAUAAGGGCAGAUUCCCAUUUCAGACAUUGUUGUUUAAGUUCUACAGAGUUUAAUUUGACUAUCUUAACACCAUCUCUUACCACAGAGGAAAAAAAAUUUAGUUGCAUACCUUGUUGUUUCGAUCUAUUUCCUUUGACUAUAUCUGCCAUGGUUGGGAAAUCCCCAAGAGAACCAACAGAGAAUUCCAGCUUUCUAGCAGCUGCAUGUGUAUCCCCUCCCUUCUUAGCAACUGGUAUAGCUUCCUCUUCCUCUAUCGGCUUAGUUUUCUAGAUCUCCGGCAGCAGUGGUGCCCUAAAAGCAUUGGCACUCGUACUAGGAAUCCAUUGAGCUAACUGAAGCUGGUUAAGUUCCUGAGGAACUCCCGAUGCUGGCGUAAUUGUUCAAUUGGUGAUAACCGGAGUGACAACAAGUGUUGGUGGUAGGACUGUCUGUCGUUUCUUACACAACAUGGCGGUCGGUGCAUAUUAGCAAGCCCUCGCGUAUCGUGCGCCGAGAGCACAGACUAAUUGAUAAUUUCAAAAGGCAAAUUAGUUCUCAUAUAUGUUUUACUAAUGCAAUACAAGCUCCAUGAACACGAUAAUUCUUGUCAAAAUUGCAUAGAUAAUUCGGCCGACACUACAAUAACAUACUACAAUAAAUAGGACGAAUUGGAAAAAAUGAAAACUGGUCAAGGUAAAAUGUCAAAAUCAAACUAUACAUAAAUACCCAAAAAGAAAAAGGUAGAAUAAUUUUUUCUACUGCAGGCUACAGCUCGGCAAUGUGAUAGCCGGCAGGCGAUGCACAACGACACGUUUUAUAAGCUUGCUUCACGAAUCGGAGAAGCCAGAGGAGUUAAGUACAAAGGCGAGUCGCAUGGAGUCGAAAACGGCGUCGUUUGAAUUUGAUUCUCCAUAGGAUUAUUUGGACAAUCGACCGUCACAGCCAACCCCGGCGACUCUUCGACGGCCAAUUCCGGUAACGGAGACGUCAUUUCAGGCGACUCUUCGUCGAUCUUCAUACACUGCUGCAAGCUCAUACUCUUAUUAGUCUUCUCAGCAGAAGAACACGGCGACUUCUCAGACUCCAAAUCUUCUUUUUCCUCUUCCUUAAUUGUAAAGAGAAAUCUCGAAGGCCCAUACAUGCCCUGAAGCUUCAACAAAUCUAUAAGCUCCAUUUCUGCCGGUUCUGGAGAUGACACGGCGGAGUUCGGACUCGGACACGAGUUGGGUCCGACCCGAGAGAGAUUACUCGGUUGUGUUCUAAGGCAGAAGAAAAGGAGAAGCUCCUUCGAAGUCGAAGAAAGGGAAGAAGUAAACGACGAAUUAGGAGAAGAAGAGGAGAUCUCGGAAGGUUCUAGAACAUUUCUGUGGACAUGAAUCGGAAUGUUACGGCGGAAAUUGCGGCGGCGCCAGAGUAUAAAGAAGAGCUGAGCAAACAGAGCUAAUAAUGAGAUCACAAAUAUUAUCGUUAGAGUUGUUCCCAGUGGGCUUAGAACACCAAAAGUCAUGGCAAUAAACGGUUGUUUUGCCGGUGGGUUGUCGCCGGCGACGGAGGAUAUGUAGGGUUUCUGGAGUAUAGGACUUCAAUUAAAAGUUGCAAGUUUCUAACGGAUAGAUUUCUUGGAAAUUGAGAGAGAGAUGAAUGAAAAAGUUAAAAGGUUGGGAAGAGAGUACGAGAGCUAGGUGACGUGGACCGGCUUUUUUAUACUUUGAAAUAAAUACGUGGAACUUACCUUUUGAUACUUAUCGAACACAAACUCUGAUAUUUUCCUUUUAUUUUUGGCGGAAUACAUAAAAUGCCGCCUAGACUUGUACCCAAAAUCUCAUUUACACACUUGUUAACUAGGAAAAUUUUUUACACACUUAACUUUUCAAAAGUAUAUCUAUUACACACGAUUUUUGUAUUUUACCACUCUUUACAAAUAAGUAUAAUAUCAUGUGCCAAUGGGAUCUUGACACGUAGAUUAACUAAGAAAAUAAAAGAAAACACAUAAAAAAAAAUCAAUUUGCUUCAUCUUCCCA
RNAcentral lists this long non-coding RNA (33064 nucleotides) under Nicotiana tabacum (common tobacco). RNAcentral's name for it is "long non-coding RNA (NTAB_LNC003816)". Lineage: Eukaryota; Viridiplantae; Streptophyta; Magnoliopsida; Solanales; Solanaceae. The record is from RNAcentral.